CACAAGUUUUAGAAGCGUAAAAGAUUUUUGUAGAACUUGAAAAAAUUCUAGUGAACACCAUACACAUUUUGGAGAAAAGCUGCCUUUCAAUCUAGUUCAAUCGUGAAGAAGAGGCUAAAAGUUGUUUCUAAAGAAAGCCACCUUUCAAUUCAAAUCAAUUGCAGAAAGGAGGUCAAAAUUGUUUCAGGAGCAAAUCACCAUGACACUUAAAGUAGAUUCAACUAUCCAAAAUCAAGUCUCAGAGACCCUUGAAUCUAAUCAAAUCAAAUUAUCAAGAAUCUCACCAAACUCGACUUCAAGAUCAAGUCUCGAUGACCCUUGAAGCAACUGCAUCCUUUCAAGAUCAAGUCAGAUGAACCUUGGAUCAAAGCUUAAACUAAAGAGAAGAAUCAAAAGAGUUUUCUUUGUAAAGAAAUCCAAAGAUUGUAAUCUCUUUUCAAAAUUAUUAAUAAAAUUGACUUUAAAUUUUCA
Molecule: long non-coding RNA, 471 nt
Filed under: Gossypium barbadense (sea-island cotton)
Lineage: Eukaryota; Viridiplantae; Streptophyta; Magnoliopsida; Malvales; Malvaceae
Description: long non-coding RNA (GBAR_LNC017878)
Source: RNAcentral